CGGCCACGCGGAGCCGCGUCUCGACUCCGACGCUGUCCCCGGGCAGAGCCGCCACGGAGGGUCAAUUAUUCAUGGGGCGCCCGGGCGUGCUCCCAAGACCUGCUCUGCCCUCAGCUUCUCGGGCGGAGUGGGCAGAGGACGGGGGAAAAGUUCCCAGAGUAAAAGUUGGCCGCAUUUCUCCUUUCCCCCAAGUAAGUAUUGAGCACCUGCUGGAUGCCUGGGACUUGGACCGGGGCCGCUGCCAGGGGCUGCGGGGAAACGGGAGGUCUCCGCGGGCCCCCGAGUUUCCGCAGGAAACAAUGCCUGAGGAGGCUGGCGCUCCAGACCAGGUCAGGGAAGGGAAGGAAAGCCUUCGCCUCCCGCCUCUCUUCCUUCCUCCCGGCUGCAUCUCCUUGGCUCCACCCCUUCUCAUCAAUUCCUCCCACACUUCCCUGCUUUCCCCGGCUUUUCAGUGGAGGGUCCCUUCUCCCAGCGAGGAGCAGAUGUUGAGCCCCAUUGUCUCUCCCCCCGCAGUGACUGCAGCCUCCCCGGACCGACCUGCUCCUCGGCACCCCUCCCCCCCGCAGCCAGGAGGCCUGGGCCUUCAGAGACUGGAGCCCCAAGGCCACUGCCCCUCACCCCACCCUGAACCAGCUCCUGGUGAUGUGAGCAAUGACUGCAGUCACUCAGAACAUGAUUUGUUUCUGACUGGGAGUGAGAAAACAGUAGCCUGAGACUCGGCUUGGGCAAGGAGGACACCAUCGUCUUAAUAUCAGCACACGGAGCCCCCCAAGACCUCAGAGCCUUCGACCACUACGCCCCCUUAAUAGGGUGACACAUUUCUGUCAUUUUCUUUCCUCCAGAUUCGUGCACCUAAGUGGUAUCCUUCAAACAAAGCAAAGCACAGCUCCGAUGGUCAAGCGUUCAUUUAACAAACGCUUACUGAGUACCUGCUGGGUGCCUGCUCUUGAGCUGGGUGCAAAGGUCCUCAGUUAGGCCUUGCAGACCCGCAGGGAAAUAAGAAGACAGCAGCAACCACAGUGCCAGGUGGCCUGGAUUGGGGACACCUCCGUCUCAUCAAGGUGGCCCAGGCGUCAUCUCAGGAGCAUGACUGGAAUGUGGAGACAGGCUACGAAGGCCAGGCCUCAGCAGGGGAGGGUAGCCGGCCUGAAGGACGCAUAGGAAUCGGAAGAGAGUGGCCCCUGGGAGCAGGACACAAGUUCGUUGUGAAAUAGUUUGAAAAUCAGCUAAGCAAAACUGAAAAGGACACCCCCGUGGAGCCAUUAUAGUUUGGUACACAUCCUUGGGCGUUUUCUAUCCACGUAUUUACGUGGAAAUGCACAUAAUAAUAAAACUAUACAAAGUAAAUAUUGUUGC
This is a long non-coding RNA of Myotis brandtii (Brandt's bat), 1356 nucleotides long. RefSeq lists it as uncharacterized. NCBI's taxonomy places the organism in Eukaryota, Metazoa, Chordata, Mammalia, Chiroptera, Vespertilionidae. The transcript is spliced from 3 exons. The record is from RefSeq and is a predicted model, not a curated record.